Molecule: ribosomal RNA, 253 nt
Filed under: uncultured bacterium
Lineage: Bacteria
Description: partial 16S ribosomal RNA
Rfam family: Bacterial small subunit ribosomal RNA
Source: RNAcentral
UACGUAGGGGGCAAGCGUUGUCCGGAAUCACUGGGCGUAAAGGGCGCGUAGGUGGCGGCCCAAGUCCGUGGUGAAAGCUCGCCGCUUAACGGCGAGUCGGCCACGGAGACUGGGUGGCUCGAGCACUGUAGGGGCAGAUGGAAUUCCGGGUGUAGCGGUGGAAUGCGUAGAGAUCCGGAAGAACACCAGUGGCGAAGGCGGUCUGCUGGGCAGUUGCUGACACUGAGGCGCGACAGCGUGGGGAGCAAACAGG